GACGAACGCUGGCGGCGUGCUUAACACAUGCAAGUCGAGCGGAAAGGCCCUUCGGGGUACUCGAGCGGCGAACGGGUGAGUAACACGUGGGCAACCUGCCCCUAGCUCUGGGAUAACUCCGGGAAACCGGGGCUAAUACCGGAUACGACCUCAGGAGGCAUCUCCUGUGGUGGAAAGUUUUUCGCUAGGGAUGGGCCCGCGGCCUAUCAGCUUGUUGGUGGGGUAACGGCCUACCAAGGCGACGACGGGUAGCCGGCCUGAGAGGGCGACCGGCCACACUGGGACUGAGACACGGCCCAGACUCCUACGGGGAGGCAGCAGGUGGGGAAUAUUGCGCAAUGGGGCGAAAGCCUGACGCAGCGACGCCGCGUGAGGGAUGA
Molecule: ribosomal RNA, 380 nt
Filed under: uncultured bacterium
Lineage: Bacteria
Description: bacterial SSU rRNA
Rfam family: Bacterial small subunit ribosomal RNA
Source: RNAcentral